This 293-nucleotide ribosomal RNA is filed under the name uncultured bacterium. Its description in RNAcentral is "partial 16S ribosomal RNA". It matches the Rfam family "Bacterial small subunit ribosomal RNA", at positions 505 to 796 of the family's 1533-position model. The record is from RNAcentral.
GUGUCAGCAGCCGCGGUAAGACGAACCGUGCGAACGUUAUUCGGAAUCACUGGGCUUAAAGCGCGUGUAGGUGGGAGGGAACGUCCGUCGCUGAAAUCCCCCGGCUCAACCGGGGAACGGGCGCGGAUACGGCCUUCCUGGAGGGACGUAGGGGGACCUGGAACUUCCGGUGGAGCGGUGAAAUGCGUUGAGAUCGGAAGGAACGCCCGUGGCGAAAGCGAGGUCCUGGACGUCUACUGACACUGAGACGCGAAAGCCAGGGGAGCGAACGGGAUUAGAAACCCCCGUAGUCC